AGAGUUUGAUCAUGGCUCAGAGUGAACGCUGGCGGCGUGCUUAACACAUGCAAGUCGAACGAUGAAACCUAGCUUGCUAGGUGGAUUAGUGGCGCACGGGUGAGUAAUAUAUAGAUAAUGUACCUCUUAGUCUGGGAUAGCCAUUGGAAACGAUGAUUAAUACUAGAUACUCCUUCUCCUUUUAAUUGGAGUUGGGAAAGUUUUUCGCUAAGAGAUCAGUCUAUAUCCCAUCAGUUAGUUGGUAGGGUAAUGGCCUACCAAGGCAAUGACGGGUAGCGGGUUUGAGAGGAUGAUCCGCCACACUGGUACUGAGACACGGACCAGACUCCUACGGGAGGCAGCAGUGAGGAAUAUUGCACAAUGGAGGAAACUCUGAUGCAGCAACGCCGCGUGGAGGAUGACGCACUUCGGUGUGUAAACUCCUUUUAUAAGGGAAGA
RNAcentral lists this ribosomal RNA (438 nucleotides) under uncultured bacterium. RNAcentral describes it as "bacterial SSU rRNA". It matches the Rfam family "Bacterial small subunit ribosomal RNA", at positions 8 to 448 of the family's 1533-position model. The record is from RNAcentral.